GACAGAGGCCUCAAGCGUUAGGCGGAAUCACUGGGCUUAAAGCGUGUGUAGGCGGGUGCCUAAGUACCUUGUGAAAUCCCACGGCUCAACCGUGGAACUGCUGGGUAUACUGGGUGCCUUGGGUCAUCUAGGGGCUGCCGGAACAAAUGGUGGAGCGGUGAAAUGCGUAGAUAUCAUUUGGAACGCCAACGGCGAAAGCAGGCAGCUGGGGAUGCACCGACGCUGAGGAGCGAAAGCCAGGGGAGCAAACGGG
Molecule: ribosomal RNA, 253 nt
Filed under: uncultured bacterium
Lineage: Bacteria
Description: partial 16S ribosomal RNA
Rfam family: Bacterial small subunit ribosomal RNA
Source: RNAcentral